GACGAACGCUGGCGGCGUGCCUAAUACAUGCGAGUUGAGCGCUGAAGGUUGGUACUUGUACCAACUGGAUGAGCAGCGAACGGGUGAGUAACGCGUGGGGAAUCUGCCUUUGAGCGGGGGACAACAUUUGGAAACGAAUGCUAAUACCGCAUAAAAACUUUAAACACAAGUUUUAAGUUUGAAAGAUGCAAUUGCAUCACUCAAAGAUGAUCCCGCGUUGUAUUAGCUAGUUGGUGAGGUAAAGGCUCACCAAGGCGAUGAUACAUAGCCGACCUGAGAGGGUUAACGGCCACAUUGGGACUGAGACACGGCCCAAACUCCUACGGGAGGCAGCAGUAGGGAAUCUUCGGCAAUGGACGAAAGUCUGACCGAGCAACGCCGCGUGAGUGAAGAAGGUUUUCGGAUCGUAAAACUCUGUUGGUAGAGAAGAACGUUGGUGAGAGUGGAAAGCUCAUCAAGUGACGGUAACUACCCAGAAAGGGACGGCUAACUACGUG
This 497-nucleotide ribosomal RNA is filed under the name uncultured bacterium. RNAcentral describes it as "partial 16S ribosomal RNA". It matches the Rfam family "Bacterial small subunit ribosomal RNA", at positions 28 to 507 of the family's 1533-position model. The record is from RNAcentral.